This 496-nucleotide ribosomal RNA is filed under the name uncultured bacterium. RNAcentral describes it as "partial 16S ribosomal RNA". It matches the Rfam family "Bacterial small subunit ribosomal RNA", at positions 29 to 507 of the family's 1533-position model. The record is from RNAcentral.
AUGAACGCUGGCGGCGUGCCUAAUACAUGCAAGUCGAGCGAACAGAUGAGGAGCUUGCUCCUCUGACGUUAGCGGCGGCCGGGUGAGUAACCCGUGGAUAACCUACCUAUAAGCCUGGGAUAACUUCGGGAAACCGGAGCUAAUACCGGAUAAUAUCUUGAACCGCAUGGUUCAAUAGUGAAAGACGGUUUUGCUGUCACUUAUAGAUGGAUCCGCGCCGCAUUAGCUAGUUGGUAAGGUAACGGCUUACCAAGGCAACGAUGCGUAGCCGACCUGAGAGGGUGAUCGGCCACACUGGAACUGAGACACGGUCCAGACUCCUACGGGAGGCAGCAGUAGGGAAUCUUCCGCAAUGGGCGAAAGCCUGACGGAGCAACGCCGCGUGAGUGAUGAAGGUCUUCGGAUCGUAAAACUCUGUUAUUAGGGAAGAACAAAUGUGUAAGUAACUAUGCACGUCUUGACGGUACCUAAUCAGAAAGCCACGGCUAACUACGUG